CCUACGGGAGGCAGCAGUGAGGAAUAUUGGUCAAUGGACGAAAGUCUGAACCAGCCAUGCCGCGUGCAGGAAGACGGCUCUAUGAGUUGUAAACUGCUUUUGUACGAGGGUAAACGCAGAUACGUGUACCUCUCUGAGUGUAUCGUACGAAUAAGGAUCGGCUAACUCCGUGCCAGCAGCCGCGGUAAUACGGAGGAUUCAAGCGUUAUCCGGAUUUAUUGGGUUUAAAGGGUGCGUAGGCGGUCGGAUAAGUUAGAGGUGAAAUCCCGAGGCUCAACUUCGGAAUUGCCUCUGAUACUGUUCGGCUAGAGAGUAGGUGAGGUAGGCGGAAUGUAUGGUGUAGCGGUGAAAUGCUUAGAGAUCAUACAGAACACCGAUUGCGAAGGCAGCUUACCAGGCUACAUCUGACGUUGAGGCACGAAAGCGUGGGGAGCAAACAGGAUUAGAUACCCCUGUAGUC
This 460-nucleotide ribosomal RNA is filed under the name uncultured bacterium. RNAcentral describes it as "partial 16S ribosomal RNA". It matches the Rfam family "Bacterial small subunit ribosomal RNA", at positions 338 to 795 of the family's 1533-position model. The record is from RNAcentral.